UGCAAGUCGAACGAGAGAAUUGCUAGCUUGCUAAUAAUUCUCUAGUGGCGCACGGGUGAGUAACACGUGAGUAACCUGCCCCCAAGAGUGGGAUAGCCCCGGGAAACUGGGAUUAAUACCGCAUAAAAUCGCAAGAUUAAGGCAGCAAUGCGCUUGGGGAUGGGCUCGCGUCCUAUUAGUUAGUUGGUGAGGUAACGGCUCACCAAGGCGAUGACGGGUAGCCGGUCUGAGAGGAUGUCCGGCCACACUGGAACUGAGACACGGUCCAGACACCUACGGGUGGCAGCAGUCGAGAAUCAUUCACAAUGGGGGAAACCCUGAUGGUGCGACGCCGCGUGGGGGAAUGAAGGUCUUCGGAUUGUAAACCCCUGUCAUGUGGGAGCAAAUUAAAAAGAUAGUACCACAAGAGGAAGAGACGGCUAACUCUGUGCCAGCAGCCGCGGUAAUACAGAGGUCUCAAGCGUUGUUCGGAAUCACUGGGCGUAAAGCGUGCGUAGGCGGUUUCGUAAGUCGUGUGUGAAAGGCGGGGGCUCAACCCCCGGACUGCACAUGAUACUGCGAGACUAGAGUAAUGGAGGGGGAACCGGAAUUCUCGGUGUAGCAGUGAAAUGCGUAGAUAUCGAGAGGAACACUCGUGGCGAAGGCGGGUUCCUGGACAUUAACUGACGCUGAGGCACGAAGGCCAGGGGAGCGAAAGGGAUUAGAUACCCCUGUAGUCCUGGCAGUAAACGGUGCACGCUUGGUGUGCGGGGAAUCGACCCCCUGCGUGCCGGAGCUAACGCGUUAAGCGUGCCGCCUGGGGAGUACGGUCGCAAGAUUAAA
Molecule: ribosomal RNA, 822 nt
Filed under: uncultured bacterium
Lineage: Bacteria
Description: bacterial SSU rRNA
Rfam family: Bacterial small subunit ribosomal RNA
Source: RNAcentral